UAAAGCACGCAGGGGAGUCCCGCCAAGGGGACUGAGAGGCGUUUAGGUGCGGGACAUUCCGGACCGGCGGCGCGACCCUUUGAACCUGACCCAGUUGAUACUGGCGUAGGAAGCUAGGCGCGCAUGGCU
Molecule: non-coding RNA, 129 nt
Filed under: Phaeobacter inhibens
Lineage: Bacteria; Pseudomonadati; Pseudomonadota; Alphaproteobacteria; Rhodobacterales; Roseobacteraceae
Description: TPP sequence
Rfam family: TPP riboswitch aptamer (THI element)
About the family: Vitamin B(1) in its active form thiamin pyrophosphate (TPP) is an essential coenzyme that is synthesised by coupling of pyrimidine and thiazole moieties in bacteria. The previously detected thiamin-regulatory element, thi box was extended, resulting in a new, highly conserved RNA secondary structure, the THI element, which is widely distributed in eubacteria and also occurs in some archaea.
Source: RNAcentral